AUUGUCAGUGAUGAGAUUGUCACCUAGUUUUGAGUUUAGCGACCAUGGGAAAACUUUACAUGCACUACCAUCUGAGGCGCA
This is a small nucleolar RNA of Periophthalmus magnuspinnatus, 81 nucleotides long. Lineage: Eukaryota; Metazoa; Chordata; Actinopteri; Gobiiformes; Gobiidae. The record is from RefSeq and is a predicted model, not a curated record.